GUGUCGUGGGUUUGAAAGGGGAUUUAGGGUUCUCACCUAAAUCCAUCAUCAACACAAGAAUUCUGCAUAAAUUGGGGUGAUUUGAGCUGGAAAUCGAGUGCAUGAGACAUCAUCUACACUUGUCUAGGUGUCCUUGAGAUAAGGUGAAAAUGAUGAGUGUGAUGAUCUUGAUAAGAAUUUGGAACGUGUCAAGGAGAGCUCAAGCAUAGGAGGAUAACGGGUCAAAAUAAGGCAAGGUGACAAAUACACUUAUUGGAGUACUCAAGGUCGCACGGACUUGACAUCAUUAUGAAGUAAAUGAGGAUUGAAGAUCGGGUCAAAGAGCGAGGAUUGUACGGGAAGGGUAGUCACAUAACUGGUGAUUUUAUAUUACAUUUGAUGCGAUAAUUAAGAAUGAACGUUGUAAAUCUUUUGAAGAAAGUGUUUGUUAUUUUUAAACGAACCUUCAAGUAAGUCAUAUGAGUAAUUAUGAAAGAAAUUUUAAGUCUCUACUUUCCGCUGUGUCUAUAUGGUUAAAUCGUGAUAUGGGUGU
RNAcentral lists this long non-coding RNA (532 nucleotides) under Helianthus annuus (common sunflower). Its description in RNAcentral is "hypothetical non coding rna". The record is from RNAcentral. Lineage: Eukaryota; Viridiplantae; Streptophyta; Magnoliopsida; Asterales; Asteraceae.